GGCUUGAUGUUCUGGGCGGCACGCGAGUUACAAUGAAGCUGACAACGUGUUACCUUAUCCGAGAGGAUUGGGAAAUCACUUAGCCAGCUUCCUAGUUGGGAUUGUGGACUGAAAAAGUUCACAUGAACCAGGAACUCCUAGUAAGUGUGAGUCACUAGCUUGCAUUGAUUACGACCCUGAUCUUUGUACACACCGCCCGUCGCUAUUACCGACGAAUUAUUUAGUGAGAUCUCUGGAGGUAAACAUUGCGAUACCUCGGUAUUUCGAUUGCUUUUGCCAAAGUUGAUCAAACUUGAUGAUUUGGAGGAAAUAAAAGUCGUAACAAGGUUUCCGUAGGUGAACCUGCGGAAGGAUCAUUAACGUAUAUAAUUUCAUUAUAUGCUCUUGUUUUUGUCCUCUCCUAAAAUCCUAGGUACUAGAAUUGCGAUAUUCACGCACUCUUUUGUUGCAUGCAUGUUGUUGGUUUUAUAAAGGGCUUCGCCUANGUAUACUUUUUACUUUUCAUGCUUAUUGAAAACCGUUGGGAUAUAGUAAUGUAAUAAACUAGUAAUAAUAAUUUAACCCUAGACAGGNGAUCACUUGGCUCAUGGGUCGAUGAAGACCGCAGCAAACUGCGCGUCGCCAUGGAACUGCAGGACACAUGAUCAUUGACACGUUGAACGCAUAUUGCGCUUUAUACAUUUGGUUCUCUCGUUGGAACUGUAUAAAGUACAUAUGGUUGAGUGUCGUAAUUUCAUCAAAUUUCAACUACAAGUGUGCGACGUUCCAGUCACGCGCAAAAUAUAGUGUCAUUAAAGAUGUCUCCUCUGAUGGCAAUUUAUGACUAAAAUUCUGAGUUUAUGUCAGUUUACGCCUUUAUAAUGAAGGGAGGAAUCUGAAAAGGUUCAAUUCAUUCACACAUGAUGAAUAUCUCUUUGGCGCCAACUUUACAUAUGCAUGUAUAUAAUUGGUUGCCAAAAAAUUCGUCGCUAAAAUGUGUGUGAGUGUGAUAGANGCCGAAGUAGAGUUUCUCAAAGUAGUACUGUAGCGAGUUAUGAUAAUAAUAGAAAAAAAAAAUAGAAUCGCGACCUCAACUCAUGUGUGACUACCCCCUGAAUUUAAGCAUAUUAAUUAGGGGAGGAAAAGAAACCAAAAGCCGGGUCCGAGCUC
This 1149-nucleotide ribosomal RNA is filed under the name Dicrotendipes fumidus. RNAcentral's name for it is "bacterial SSU rRNA". The stretch from base 1 to 359 matches the Rfam family "Eukaryotic small subunit ribosomal RNA", at positions 1471 to 1831 of the family's 1831-position model. Lineage: Eukaryota; Metazoa; Arthropoda; Insecta; Diptera; Chironomidae. The record is from RNAcentral.